RNAcentral lists this ribosomal RNA (505 nucleotides) under uncultured bacterium. Its description in RNAcentral is "partial 16S ribosomal RNA". It matches the Rfam family "Bacterial small subunit ribosomal RNA", at positions 28 to 507 of the family's 1533-position model. The record is from RNAcentral.
GACGAACGCUGGCGGCGUGCCUAAUACAUGCAAGUAGAACGCACAGUUUAUACCGUAGCUUGCUACACCAUAGACUGUGAGUUGCGAACGGGUGAGUAACGCGUAGGUAACCUGCCUGGUAGCGGGGGAUAACUAUUGGAAACGAUAGCUAAUACCGCAUAAUAUUGAUUAUUGCAUGAUAAUUGAUUGAAAGAUGCUAUUGCAUCACUACCAGAUGGACCUGCGUUGUAUUAGCUAGUAGGUGAGGUAACGGCUCACCUAGGCGACGAUACAUAGCCGACCUGAGAGGGUGAUCGGCCACACUGGGACUGAGACACGGCCCAGACUCCUACGGGAGGCAGCAGUAGGGAAUCUUCGGCAAUGGACGAAAGUCUGACCGAGCAACGCCGCGUGAGUGAAGAAGGUUUUCGGAUCGUAAAGCUCUGUUGUAAGAGAAGAAAGGGUGUGAGAGUGGAAAGUUCACACUGUGACGGUAUCUUACCAGAAAGGGACGGCUAACUACGUG